GACGAACGCUGGCGGCGUGCCUAAUACAUGCAAGUAGAACGCACAGUUUAUACCGUAGCUUGCUACACCAUAGACUGUGAGUUGCGAACGGGUGAGUAACGCGUAGGUAACCUGCCUGGUAGCGGGGGAUAACUAUUGGAAACGAUAGCUAAUACCGCAUAAUAUUAAUUAUUGCAUGAUAAUUAAUUGAAAGGUGCAAUUGCACCACUACCAGAUGGACCUGCGUUGUAUUAGCUAGUAGGUGAGGUAACGGCUCACCUAGGCGACGAUACAUAGCCGACCUGAGAGGGUGAUCGGCCACACUGGGACUGGGACACGGCCCAGACGCCUACGGGAGGCAGCAGUAGGGAAUCUUCGGCAAUGGACGAAAGUCUGACCGAGCAACGCCGCGUGAGUGAAGAAGGUUUUCGGAUCGUAAAGCUCUGUUGUAAGAGAAGAACGGGUGUGAGAGUGGAAAGUUCACACUGUGACGGUAUCUUACCAGAAAGGGACGGCUAACUACGUG
RNAcentral lists this ribosomal RNA (505 nucleotides) under uncultured bacterium. RNAcentral describes it as "partial 16S ribosomal RNA". It matches the Rfam family "Bacterial small subunit ribosomal RNA", at positions 28 to 507 of the family's 1533-position model. The record is from RNAcentral.